UACAGAGGUCUCAAGCGUUGUUCGGAUUCAUUGGGCGUAAAGGGUGCGUAGGCGGCGCGGUAAGUCGGGUGUGAAAUCUCGGAGCUUAACUCCGAAACUGCAUUCGAUACUGCCGUGCUUUGAGGACUGGAGAGGAGACUGGAAUUUACGGUGUAGCGGUGAAAUGCGUAGAUAUCGUAAGGAAGACCAGUGGCGAAGGCGGGUCGUCGUGGA
This 213-nucleotide ribosomal RNA is filed under the name uncultured bacterium. RNAcentral describes it as "partial 16S ribosomal RNA". It matches the Rfam family "Bacterial small subunit ribosomal RNA", at positions 524 to 735 of the family's 1533-position model. The record is from RNAcentral.